RNAcentral lists this ribosomal RNA (550 nucleotides) under uncultured bacterium. RNAcentral describes it as "bacterial SSU rRNA". It matches the Rfam family "Bacterial small subunit ribosomal RNA", at positions 355 to 896 of the family's 1533-position model. The record is from RNAcentral.
UAGGGAAUCUUCGGCAAUGGGGGGAACCCUGACCGAGCAACGCCGCGUGAGUGAAGAAGGCUUUCGGAUCGUAAAGCUCUGUUGUUAAGGAAGAACGAGUGUGAGAAUGGAAAGUUCAUACUGUGACGGUACUUAACCAGAAAGGGACGGCUAACUACGUGCCAGCAGCCGCGGUAAUACGUAGGUCCCGAGCGUUGUCCGGAUUUAUUGGGCGUAAAGCGAGCGCAGGCGGUUAGAAAAGUCUGAAGUGAAAGGCAGUGGCUCAACCAUUGUAGGCUUUGGAAACUGUUUAACUUGAGUGCAGAAGGGGAGAGUGGAAUUCCAUGUGUAGCGGUGAAAUGCGUAGAUAUAUGGAGGAACACCGGUGGCGAAAGCGGCUCUCUGGUCUGUAACUGACGCUGAGGCUCGAAAGCGUGGGGAGCAAACAGGAUUAGAUACCCUGGUAGUCCACGCCGUAAACGAUGAGUGCUAGGUGUUGGGUCCUUUCCGGGACUCAGUGCCGCAGCUAACGCAUUAAGCACUCCGCCUGGGGAGUACGACCGCAAGGUUG